AAAUCUUCUUCCCCAAUUUCCCGUCAACCCCAUCACCGAACAUCGGUAUUCCCCUCCUUCAAUCAUUUGAUCCAUUUACCUUAUUUAGCUUUUCUCUCUUUACUUUUUAUUUUUAUUUUUUCUUGCCUUAAUUAUCCUUUUUAUUUUUUUACUAAUUGUCAUUGACAAUCUCUUCCUUAAUCACUCAAAUCAGAAAGUAUUUCUUCCUUUAAAGAAACGAUUUUUAGCAGAAAAUGUGGAGGUAUGAAUCUUUUUGGAGAAUCUGUCCAAAUUCAAGAUCUCUCACAAAGUUUUCUUAUUAAUUUGGCACUUUGCAACAGAUCCAGGUACCGCUGAUCAAGCCUACUAUCCUUGAG
Nicotiana tabacum (common tobacco) is the source of this 356-nucleotide long non-coding RNA. RefSeq lists it as uncharacterized. The record is from RefSeq and is a predicted model, not a curated record. Lineage: Eukaryota; Viridiplantae; Streptophyta; Magnoliopsida; Solanales; Solanaceae.